This 465-nucleotide ribosomal RNA is filed under the name uncultured bacterium. RNAcentral describes it as "partial 16S ribosomal RNA". It matches the Rfam family "Bacterial small subunit ribosomal RNA", at positions 28 to 507 of the family's 1533-position model. The record is from RNAcentral.
GAUGAACGCUGGCGGCGUGCUUAACACAUGCAAGUCGAACGGAAAGGCUCCUGCUUGCAGGGGUACUCGAGUGGCGAACGGGUGAGUAACACGUGGGUGAUCUGCCCUGCACUUCGGGAUAAGCCUGGGAAACUGGGUCUAAUACCGGAUAGGACGAUGGUUUGGAUGCCAUUGUGGAAAGUUUUUCGGUGUGGGAUGAGCUCGCGGCCUAUCAGCUUGUUGGUGGGGUAAUGGCCUACCAAGGCGUCGACGGGUAGCCGGCCUGAGAGGGUGUACGGCCACAUUGGGACUGAGAUACGGACCAGACUCCUACGGGAGGCAGCAGUGGGGAAUAUUGCACAAUGGGGGCAAGCCUGAUGCAGCGACGCCGCGUGGGGGAAGAAGGCCUUCGGGUUGUAAACUCCUUUCGUCAGGGACGAAGCGAAAGUGACGGUACCUGGAUAAGAAGCACCGGCUAACUACGUG